RNAcentral lists this ribosomal RNA (206 nucleotides) under uncultured bacterium. RNAcentral's name for it is "partial 16S ribosomal RNA". It matches the Rfam family "Bacterial small subunit ribosomal RNA", at positions 524 to 726 of the family's 1533-position model. The record is from RNAcentral.
GACAGAGGGUGCGAACGGUUGCUCGGAAUUACUGGGCGUAAAGCGCGUGUAGGCGGGUGAUCAAGUCAGGUGUGAAAUCCCCAGGCUCAACCUGGGAACUGCACUUGAAACUGGUCGCCUUGAGUGUUGGAGAGGGAAGCGGAAUUCCUGGUGUAGAGGUGAAAUUCGUAGAUAUCGAGGAGGAACGACCGGUGGCGAAGGCGGCU